UACGGAGGGUGCAAGCGUUAUCCGGAUUUACUGGGUUAAAGGGUGCGUAGGUGGAUAAUUAAGUCAGUGGUGAAAUCUUCAGGCUUAACCUGGAAACUGCCAUUGAUACUAUUGUCUUGAAUACUUUGGAGGUAAGCGGAAUAUGUCAUGUAGCGGUGAAAUGCUUAGAUAUGACAUAGAACACCAAUUGCGAAAGGCAGCUUACUACACAGUAAUUGACACUGAGGCACGAAAGCGUGGGGAUCAAACAGG
This 252-nucleotide ribosomal RNA is filed under the name uncultured bacterium. RNAcentral describes it as "partial 16S ribosomal RNA". It matches the Rfam family "Bacterial small subunit ribosomal RNA", at positions 524 to 776 of the family's 1533-position model. The record is from RNAcentral.